Molecule: unclassified non-coding RNA, 348 nt
Filed under: soil metagenome
Description: partial contains 5.8S ribosomal RNA, internal transcribed spacer 2, and large subunit ribosomal RNA
Rfam family: 5.8S ribosomal RNA (bases 4-119)
Source: RNAcentral
GAUAAGAACGUAGCGAAAUGCGAUACGUAAUGUGAAUUGCAGAAUUCAGUGAAUCAUCGAGUCUUUGAACGCACAUUGCGCCCCCUGGUAUUCCGGGGGGCAUGCCUGUCCGAGCGUCAUUGCUGCCCUCAAGCACGGCUUGUGUGUUGGGCCUCCGCCCCCCGGCUCCCGGGGGGCGGGCCCGAAAGGCAGCGGCGGCACCGCGUCCGGUCCUCGAGCGUAUGGGGCUUCGUCACCCGCUCCGUAGGCCCGGCCGGCGCCCGCCGGCGACCCCCCUCAAUCUUUCCAGGUUGACCUCGGAUCAGGUAGGGAUACCCGCUGAACUUAAGCAUAUCAAUAAGCGGAGGA